RNAcentral lists this long non-coding RNA (814 nucleotides) under Manihot esculenta (cassava). RNAcentral's name for it is "long non-coding RNA (MESC_LNC012207)". Lineage: Eukaryota; Viridiplantae; Streptophyta; Magnoliopsida; Malpighiales; Euphorbiaceae. The record is from RNAcentral.
CGAAUUCCCACUUCGGCUGCCGAACGUAGUGGAAGUUUGCAUGCAGCUUUGGCCGUCGAAGGAGAGGCGGUUGGCCACCUAUAAAAGCUCAUUUAACCGGAAAUGGAGGCUAUUUUGCUCUCUUUUUGGGUCAAAGGUAGGUUUUGUCCUCCCUUGGUUGAGUUCUUCUUGUUUUUCUAAAUCAUGCAAGCUUUAACAAGUUUUUAACUUGUUUUUUGAAGUUUUGAGCAAAAGAAGGCAAAGUUGAUAGACUUGGAGACUUUGGAUCUCUUUCCUUCACAAGCUCCGAGUUAGGACCAUCGAUCCUCUCGAUCUUCAAGAGGUAAGCAUGGAUCAUCACCUCCCCUUAUGUUUUAAGCAUGGUUUAAAGGGUUUAAGAGAGUUUUAUGGCAUGUUGAUAGUGGAUCUAUAGGUUAAAGAGUAUAUGUUGAUCAUAUGCUAUAUGUGAUGUUAUGAUGUUGUUUUUGGAGUUUAAACUAGUUUUUAAGCUCCUAUAUGCAUGGAUAAGGAUAUAUGCAUGGUUAUGAGAAGUUGGUUGCAUGUUGAGAGUGUGUGGUAGGAUUUUGGGAGGCUGAAUAUGCAUGUAUGAUCGAGUUCUGCCUUCUUGGAGAACUCAGGUUCGGCCGCCGAAGCAAGGUUCGGCCGCCGAACCCCUUAAGGAGGCUGUUUUGAUCGCCUAAACUCGCCCCCGAAGGUUUGAACUUUCGGCUCUGAAGGGAGUUUCGGCCGCCGAAUAUGCCGCCGAAAGUGAGUGACUUUCAUCUCUGGAGUGUCCUUCAGCCCCCGAACCUCGCCCUUGAAAGUUGGACUUUCG